AGGUCUGAUUUCGUUCCUGCUCUCGCAAAAGUAAUUAGUGCUGCUGUCAUCCUAAGAAAUAGAGGAGGAAAAGUACUAACACCUCUCUGAUGAAUUUGUUGCUGGAAUGUCUGGCCCACAACGACUCUCUUCAUCUCUUGGAGCUGCCUGCUUCUAUGUUGAAAGCCAGUGAAAAAGAGUAAGCAGCAUCUUUAUCCAGAAUUUCCAGAAAUCAUUCUGUUGUCUACUUUGAUUGCAUUAGUGUCUGAGGAUAUUCCAAACCCAAAACCUAUGGAUAAGAACAAUUUGCAUUGAACAGAGCCCCAAGCAGGCUAAAGGAAUGCUCAAAAAACACAACUCACCAAGCGAAAACAGGCGUCAAAGGUGGACUCGCUGUCCAGUAUCCAAGUAACUGCUGCGCUCUGAGUUCAGGUGAAAGUAAAAGUGACUGGAAUUAGCCUCCCACCUAAAAAAAGAAAACCAGCAACGAAACAGAACAUUAUAAAACAACAGUUUUCAAAAUGCUUGACAUCAGGCUAACAAAGGACAGU
Long non-coding RNA from Myotis myotis, 530 nucleotides. RefSeq lists it as uncharacterized. The record is from RefSeq and is a predicted model, not a curated record. NCBI's taxonomy places the organism in Eukaryota, Metazoa, Chordata, Mammalia, Chiroptera, Vespertilionidae. The transcript has 5 exons.